This 429-nucleotide ribosomal RNA is filed under the name Bacteroidota bacterium. RNAcentral's name for it is "Bacteroidetes bacterium partial 16S ribosomal RNA". It matches the Rfam family "Bacterial small subunit ribosomal RNA", at positions 355 to 776 of the family's 1533-position model. Lineage: Bacteria; Pseudomonadati; Bacteroidota. The record is from RNAcentral.
UAGGGAAUCUUCGGCAAUGGGGGGAACCCUGACCGAGCAACGCCGCGUGAGUGAAGAAGGUUUUCGGAUCGUAAAGCUCUGUUGUUAAGGAAGAACGAGUGUGAGAAUGGAAAGUUCAUACUGUGACGGUACUUAACCAGAAAGGGACGGCUAACUACGUGCCAGCAGCCGCGGUAAUACGUAGGUCCCGAGCGUUGUCCGGAUUUAUUGGGCGUAAAGCGAGCGCAGGCGGUUAGAUAAGUCUGAAGUUAAAGGCAGUGGCUCAACCAUUGUAGGCUUUGGAAACUGUUUAACUUGAGUGCAGAAGGGGGGAGUGGAAUUCCAUGUGUAGCGGUGAAAUGCGUAGAUAUAUGGAGGAACCCCGGUGGCGAAAGCGGCUCUCUGGUCUGUACCUGACGCUGAGGCUCGAAAGCGUGGGGAGCGAACAGG